ACUGGAGUGGAUUGCCAUUUCCUUCUUCAGGGGAAUCUUUCUGACCCAGGGAUUGAACCUGUGUCUCCUGUGUUGCAGGCAGAUUCUUUACCAUUGAGCCACCUGGGAAGCCGCUGUCUUCACUCAGUCAAACGCUCUCCUGAGAGAGAAAGUAAUUCUGCACAGCCGCCAUCCCCCUUCCUCCCUGCAGCACUGUUGCUCGUACAAUGCAGGGUAAAGACCAGGGCCUUCAGGAUCAUUAAACCCUUCACCAAGAGAGCGCAAUGGAAGUGCUGAUUAUGAAAGCUUCUGGAAAUGGCCCAGGAGUGUAGGAGAAUGCGGAGCACAGACAAGGUUGAGAAGGGAGAAAAAAGGACCUGCUGGCCUUGGUACUGGAUCCAAACUAAUGAGAAC
RNAcentral lists this long non-coding RNA (393 nucleotides) under Bos indicus x Bos taurus (hybrid cattle). Its description in RNAcentral is "lncRNA (ENSBIXG00000000709.1)". Lineage: Eukaryota; Metazoa; Chordata; Mammalia; Artiodactyla; Bovidae. The record is from RNAcentral.